RNAcentral lists this ribosomal RNA (253 nucleotides) under uncultured bacterium. Its description in RNAcentral is "partial 16S ribosomal RNA". It matches the Rfam family "Bacterial small subunit ribosomal RNA", at positions 524 to 776 of the family's 1533-position model. The record is from RNAcentral.
UACGUAGGGUGCGAGCGUUAAUCGGAAUUACUGGGCGUAAAGGGUGCGCAGGCGGCCGCGCAAGUCGAGUGUGAAAGCCCCGAGCUUAACUUGGGAAUUGCGCUCGAAACUACGUGGCUGGAGUGUGGCAGAGGAAGGUGGAAUUCCACGUGUAGCGGUGAAAUGCGUAGAGAUGUGGAGGAACACCAAUGGCGAAGGCAGCCUUCUGGGCCAACACUGACGCUCAUGCACGAAAGCGUGGGGAGUAAACAGG